UACGGAACAACAGUUGGAAACGACUGCUAAUACCGUAUACGUCCUCCGGGAGAAAGAUUUAUCGCUGAUAGAUGGGGCCGCGUUAGAUUAGCUAGAUGGUGGGGUAAUGGCCUACCAUGGCGACGAUCUAUAGCGGGUCUGAGAGGAUGAUCCGCCACACUGGGACUGAGACACGGCCCAGACUCCUACGGGAGGCAGCAGUGGGGAAUAUUGGACAAUGGGCGCAAGCCUGAUCCAGCCAUGCCGCGUGAAUGAUGAAGGCCUUAGGGUUGUAAAAUUCUUUCGCUAGGGAAGAUAAUGACGGUACCUAGUAAAGAAGCCCCGGCUAACUCCGUGCCAGCAGCCGCGGUAAUACGGAGGGGGCUAGCGUUGUUCGGAAUUACUGGGCGUAAAGCGUGCGUAGGCGGACUAUUAAGUUAGAUGUGAAAUCCCGAGGCUCAACCUCGGAACUGCAUUUAAAACUGGUAGUCUAGAGUUCUGGAGAGGUAAGUGGAAUUCCUAGUGUAGAGGUGAAAUUCGUAGAUAUUAGGAGGAACACCAGAGGCGAAGGCGGCUUACUGGACAGAUACUGACGCUGAGGCACGAAAGUGUGGGUAGCAAACAGGAUUAGAUACCCUGGUAGUCCACACCGUAAACGAUGAGAGCUAGUUGUCUGCAAGCAUGCUUGUAGGUGACGCAGCUAACGCAUUAAGCUCUCCGCCUGGGGAGUACGGUCGCAAGAUUAAAACUCAAAGAAAUUGACGGGGGCCCGCACAAGCGGUGGAGCGUGUGGUUUAAUUCGAAGCAACGCGCAGAACCUUACCAACCCUUGACAUCCUUGGACCGCCAGAGAGAUCUGGUUUUCUCGUAAGAGACCAAGUGACAGGUGCUGCAUGGCUGUCGUCAGCUCGUGUCGUGAGACGUCGCGUUAAGUCGCUUAACGAGCGCAACCCUUGUCCUUAGUUGCCAGCGAGUAAUGUCGGGGACUCUAAGGAGACCGCCGGUGUCAAACCGGAGGAAGGCGGGGACGACGUCAAGUCAUCAUGGCCUUUAUGUCUAGGGCUGCACACGUCAUACAAUGCAACAUACAAAGGGCAGCUAACCCGCGAGGGGGCGCAAAUCUCAAAAAGUGUUGCUCAGUUCGGAUUGUAGGCUGCAACUCGCCUACAUGAAGCUGGAAUCGCUAGUAAUCGUAGGUCAUCUAUACUACGGUGAAUAUGUUCCUGAGCCUUGU
This 1213-nucleotide ribosomal RNA is filed under the name uncultured bacterium. RNAcentral's name for it is "partial 16S ribosomal RNA". It matches the Rfam family "Bacterial small subunit ribosomal RNA", at positions 137 to 1384 of the family's 1533-position model. The record is from RNAcentral.